Molecule: ribosomal RNA, 497 nt
Filed under: uncultured bacterium
Lineage: Bacteria
Description: partial 16S ribosomal RNA
Rfam family: Bacterial small subunit ribosomal RNA
Source: RNAcentral
GACGAACGCUGGCGGCGUGCCUAAUACAUGCAAGUAGAACGCUGAAGAGAGGAGCUUACUCUUCUUGGAUGAGUUGCGAACGGGUGAGUAACGCGUAGGUAACCUGCCUUGUAGCGGGGGAUAACUAUUGGAAACGAUAGCUAAUACCGCAUAACAAUGGAUGACACAUGUCAUUUAUUUGAAAGGGGCAAUUGCUCCACUACAAGAUGGACCUGCGUUGUAUUAGCUAGUAGGUGAGGUAAUGGCUCACCUAGGCGACGAUACAUAGCCGACCUGAGAGGGUGAUCGGCCACACUGGGACUGAGACACGGCCCAGACUCCUACGGGAGGCAGCAGUAGGGAAUCUGCGGCAAUGGGGGCAACACUGACCGAGCAACGCCGCGUGAGUGAAGAAGGUUGUCGGAUCGUAAAGCUCUGUUGUAAGUCAAGAACGGGUGUGAGAGUGGAAAGUUCACACUGUGACGGUAGCUUACCAGAAAGGGACGGCUAACUACGUG